Long non-coding RNA from Phyllopteryx taeniolatus (common seadragon), 854 nucleotides. RefSeq lists it as uncharacterized. The record is from RefSeq and is a predicted model, not a curated record. The transcript is spliced from 4 exons. NCBI's taxonomy places the organism in Eukaryota, Metazoa, Chordata, Actinopteri, Syngnathiformes, Syngnathidae.
GGUGAUAACUGCAGGUCGAAUUCACGUCCAAGGAGAUUUGAGUACGCUCGUACUGUCGGCGUCCCGUUGAAGUGAUAAUAAAAGCAGUUGCAACGUCGUCGAGCCAACACUAAAUAGUCAACAUGUUGUGAUAUGAAUCAUGCUAGGGCUAGCUUGUUAGUAAUUGUUUUUAAUGGACCUUCUUGCUGGUUAGCUGAGGAAGCUAAUUAGCCGCCAUGGCUACUCAACGAGAGAAAAAAAGCUUCAGACAGUUCAUGCCAUCCGAGAUUUGAUUCGCUCGCACAACCAGCCGAGACCAGUUUGUGAUGAGGUGCUGGACUCCAGCCGAGAGCUUUAAUGGACAAUUGUUGAAGCCAAAUAACAAACAGCCUGGAAGUGUAUUUUACUACUGCAUGGAGUGCAAUGCAUUUGGAAACGAGCAGGAACAAUCACAUCUGCAUUGGUUCCACUCACCGCUCUGGCUGAUUAUUAUCGACACCGGUGUUCUAAGUGGCAGCGGAACAGGUCAAUCCCCUCACUGUAUUGUAUUGUAUUAUGUUAUAUUAUAUUAUAUAUUAUAUUAUAUUAUGCUAAAAGUUUAUUUUUUUAUUUUUUUAAGAAAUAAUUUUUUUUCAAAUCAUUCAAUUCAGAAAAAUGCUGAACACAACGUUUGUAUUCAUUAUUAUUUGUUAGUCCGGGUUGGUAAUUGCAGAACAUUGAAUUUGUCUUUCUUGCGAGUGGAACGCUCUUCAGAAAAAAAAAAAUCUAUUUCUGCUGUACGUAAUGUUGGGCAUUAUUUAUUGUUUUUGUGAACAUGUUGACAUGUCACUGUUGUGUUUGCAUGCUUGACAGAAAAUGGAUAGAUGGAUGUAACA